UACGUAGGGUGCGAGCGUUAAUCGGAAUUACUGGGCGUAAAGCGUGCGCAGGCGGUGAGCUGUGUCCGAUGUGAAAGCCCCGGGCUUAACCUGGGAAUGGCAGUGGAAACUAGGGGACUGGAAUCUGGCAGAGGGGGGUGGAAUGCCGCGUGUAGCAGUGAAAUGCGUAGAGAUGCGGCGGAACACCGAUGGCGAAGGCAGCCCCCUGGGCUGAGAUUGACGCUCAGGCACGAAAGCGUGGGGAGCAAACAGG
Molecule: ribosomal RNA, 253 nt
Filed under: uncultured bacterium
Lineage: Bacteria
Description: partial 16S ribosomal RNA
Rfam family: Bacterial small subunit ribosomal RNA
Source: RNAcentral